Molecule: long non-coding RNA, 748 nt
Organism: Hordeum vulgare subsp. vulgare (domesticated barley)
Lineage: Eukaryota; Viridiplantae; Streptophyta; Magnoliopsida; Poales; Poaceae
Exons: 2
Source: RefSeq, a predicted model, not a curated record
AUGAAUCCAUUGAUUCGUUCGUCGGCUCCUCUUCUGCUACUUUCUAGUUUCUACACACAAGCAACAGCCACCGUGCCGGAGGGCGUUGCCUUGGGCUGGUGGGUGUUGUUCAUUGGCCGUCUCCAUUGUCGACGGGUGGAGCCCGACACGGAGGGGUUGUGUGCCAUGGUGACGGGGUCAUGCUCCGCCGGAGGGAGGAGCGCUGCAACGGCCGCGCCUUUGUAUUGUGGCUGCAGUUGCGGAUAUUCCGUGGGAAGCCGCAUCGAGAGGAGAAGGUAGAGGACCGAGGCUGUGCGCCGAAGGAGCCGUCUCCAUCGCGCGUGUAGGCGCGUCCGUGUCGAGCGCGCAGUUCCGCGUCGAUGUAAUUUAGAGGUUGUGAGCAUUCCCAAUUCCAUGAACAGCGUCAUGGCGGCUGAUGUUUCUUUUAUUUCGGUUUCCUUUUACCUGGUGAUUAAAUCGGUCUCGCUCGAGCCAGAGGACUGGAGCCGCGGGCGCUGCCGAUUCACGAUCCGGUCAAACAACAAGGCCACAUCGUUGCCGCAUCGGUAGGGGCGAUCGCUUGUCUGCCAUUAACCGCUGCCAUCUGAUUCCGCUCAUGAAGUAGCACGCAUGGGGGCGAGGUCCUCGGUUGUCUCCUUCAGACGUCGCGUAUCGAUUGCUCGAUUGGAGAGCAGCAAGUGCUGAUAACGUGUUAGAAUGAAACGAGAUUGAAUGAAAAUGAAUGGACAAUUCGUCCUGUUUCUAUUGA